This 1133-nucleotide ribosomal RNA is filed under the name uncultured bacterium. RNAcentral describes it as "bacterial SSU rRNA". It matches the Rfam family "Bacterial small subunit ribosomal RNA", at positions 26 to 1122 of the family's 1533-position model. The record is from RNAcentral.
AGGACGAACGCUGGCGGCGUGCCUAAUACAUGCACGUCGAACGCACUGACGUCGACAGAAGGUGCUUGCACUGGAAGUUGAUUGACGUGAGUGGCGGACGGGUGAGUAACACGUGGGUAACCUGCCCUUAAGCGGGGGAUAACAUUUGGAAACAGAUGCUAAUACCGCAUAAAAGUUGAGAUCACAUGGUCUUAAUUUGAAAGACGGCCUUUGGCUGUCACUUAAGGAUGGACCCGCGGCGUAUUAGCUAGUUGGUGAGAUAAUAGCCCACCAAGGCGAUGAUACGUAGCCGACCUGAGAGGGUAAUCGGCCACAUUGGGACUGAGACACGGCCCAAACUCCUACGGGAGGCAGCAGUAGGGAAUCUUCCACAAUGGACGAAAGUCUGAUGGAGCAACGCCGCGUGAGUGAAGAAGGUUUUCGGAUCGUAAAACUCUGUUGUUGGAGAAGAACAGAGACUAGAGUAACUGUUAGUCCUUUGACGGUAUCCAACCAGAAAGCCACGGCUAACUACGUGCCAGCAGCCGCGGUAAUACGUAGGUGGCAAGCGUUGUCCGGAUUUAUUGGGCGUAAAGCGAGCGCAGGCGGUUUCUUAAGUCUGAUGUGAAAGCCUUCGGCUUAACCGAAGAAGUGCAUCAGAUACUGGGAAACUUGAGUGCAGAAGAGGAAAGUGGAACUCCAUGUGUAGCGGUGAAACGCGUAGAUAUAUGGAAGAACACCAGUGGCGAAGGCGGCUUUCUGGUCUGUAACUGACGCUGAGGCUCGAAAGUAUGGGGAGCGAACAGGAUUAGAUACCCUGGUAGUCCAUACCGUAAACGAUGAAUGAUAAGUGUUGGAGGGUUUCCGCCCUUCAGUGCUGCAGCUAACGCAUUAAGCAUUCCGCCUGGGGAGUACGACCGCAAGGUUGAAACUCAAAGGAAUUGACGGGGGCCCGCACAAGCGGUGGAGCAUGUGGUUUAACUCGAAGCUACGCGAAGAACCUUACCAGGUCUUGACAUCUAGCGCCAAUCCUAGAGAUAGGACGUUCCCUUCGGGGACGCUAAGACAGGUGGUGCAUGGUUGUAGUCAGCUCGUGUCGUGAGAUGUUGGGUUAAGUCCCGCAACGAGCGCAACCCUUAUGAUUAGUUGCCAGC